RNAcentral lists this ribosomal RNA (378 nucleotides) under uncultured bacterium. RNAcentral describes it as "bacterial SSU rRNA". It matches the Rfam family "Bacterial small subunit ribosomal RNA", at positions 527 to 907 of the family's 1533-position model. The record is from RNAcentral.
GGAGGAUGCGAGCGUUAUCCGGAUUUAUUGGGUUUAAAGGGUGCGUAGGUGGUGAUUUAAGUCAGCGGUGAAAGUUUGUGGCUCAACCAUAAAAUUGCCGUUGAAACUGGGUUACUUGAGUGCGUUUGAGGUAGGCGGAAUGCGUGGUGUAGCGGUGAAAUGCAUAGAUAUCACGCAGAACUCCGAUUGCGAAGGCAGCUUACUAAACCAUAACUGACACUGAAGCACGAAAGCGUGGGGAUCAAACAGGAUUAGAUACCCUGGUAGUCCACGCAGUAAACGAUGAUUACUAGGAGUUUGCGAUACAAUGUAAGCUCUACAGCGAAAGCGUUAAGUAAUUCACCUGGGGAGUACGCCGGCAACGGUGAAACUCAAAGG